RNAcentral lists this ribosomal RNA (526 nucleotides) under uncultured bacterium. RNAcentral describes it as "partial 16S ribosomal RNA". It matches the Rfam family "Bacterial small subunit ribosomal RNA", at positions 28 to 523 of the family's 1533-position model. The record is from RNAcentral.
GACGAACGCUGGCGGCGUGCCUAAUACAUGCAAGUCGAGCGCAGGAAACCAGAUGACCCCUUCGGGGUGAUUCUGGUGGAAUGAGCGGCGGACGGGUGAGUAACACGUGGGCAACCUGCCUGUAAGACUGGGAUAACUUCGGGAAACCGGAGCUAAUACCGGAUAGUAUUUCCUUUCUCCUGAUUGGAAAUGGAAAGACGGUUUCGGCUGUCACUUACAGAUGGGCCCGCGGUGCAUGAGCUAGUUGGUGGGGUAAUGGCCCACCAAGGCGACGAUGCAUAGCCGACCUGAGAGGGUGAUCGGCCACGCUGGGACUGAGACACGGCUCAGACUCCUACGGGAGGCAGCAGUAGGGAAUCUUCCGCAAUGGACGAAAGUCUGACGGAGCAACGCCGCGUGAGCGAUGAAGGCCUUCGGGUCGUAAAGCUCUGUUGUUAGGGAAGAACAAGUACGAGAGUAACUGCUCGUACCUUGACGGUACCUAACCAGAAAGCCCCGGCUAACUACGUGCCAGCCGCCGCCGUAA